GAUGAACGCUGGCGGCGUGCUUAACACAUGCAAGUCGAACGAAGCACCUUAUUCUGAUUUCUUCGGAAUGAAAAAUUUGGUGACUGAGUGGCGGACGGGUGAGUAACGCGUGGGUAACCUGCCUCAUACAGGGGGAUAACAGUUAGAAAUGGCUGCUAAUACCCCAUAAGACCACAGCACCGCAUGGUGCAGGGGUAAAAACUCCGGUGGUAUGAGAUGGACCCGCGUCUGAUUAGGUAGUUGGUGGGGUAACGGCCUACCAAGCCGACGAUCAGUAGCCGGACUGAGAGGUUGAACGGCCACAUUGGGACUGAGACACGGCCCAG
RNAcentral lists this ribosomal RNA (326 nucleotides) under uncultured bacterium. RNAcentral describes it as "bacterial SSU rRNA". It matches the Rfam family "Bacterial small subunit ribosomal RNA", at positions 28 to 334 of the family's 1533-position model. The record is from RNAcentral.